Daucus carota subsp. sativus is the source of this 1010-nucleotide long non-coding RNA. RefSeq lists it as uncharacterized. NCBI's taxonomy places the organism in Eukaryota, Viridiplantae, Streptophyta, Magnoliopsida, Apiales, Apiaceae. The record is from RefSeq and is a predicted model, not a curated record. The transcript has 5 exons.
AGGAAUUUCUCGAGCCCUAAUCGAAGAAUUGCAUCCGUAAGGACCGUAACUAUACUAGUGACAUACUAAUAUACUAUACAGACUAUACACUCCAUUAUUUAGAAAUCAGAUUCCUCAAAACCCUAAUCUGCAAUUGGGGCAUGCACCUAUUCUAAUCUGUGUGUUUAGAGUGGGCUCGUUGAUAACUAUUCAACAGACUUGGGCCGAGACUAAGGCUUGUUAACGCACAAGCAGCCCAAACAACGUUACAUUUGGCUGCUUUAGAGUAAAUACCCAUACCAUUUUCUUCUUCAUCUUCUUUUCCACCAUUGUUGCCUGCUAUGAAGAUAUUUAAGUGAUGGAAUCAUCGGGUUUGAUUGUUGAGAAAUUUAUCAAGUAUGUCACUGAGGAAGAUGUCUUCUCGGAUGAACUGCGAUUCCCUGCGGAUAUGCGUCAAAACUUGGUGAUCUUGUUGGUAAGAAACUCCUCUUGAAAUUGAAAACUGAUUAUUGUUUGGAAGUAACAUAUAAUAAGGGUUUGGGGAAAAUGAUUGGUGUUGAAGCCCUCUACUCUGAUUUUCACUUAGAAGGCAGGGAGUUGUUGGUUUUUGAGUUUGCAGGUGACGGUAAUUUAAACGUAUAUAUAAUUGGGAGGGAUUUUUGUGAGGUUGAGUAUCCAAAUGUUGUUCAUGCACUACAGGAAAUUGGUCCCUGAAAAGGUAUUAUUACAAAUUUUUUACAACUAUUGAUGUCACACUGUACUUAUUCAGCUGGUUCACGUAUCUGUAUUAUUCAGCUGGUUCACGUAUCUGUAUUUUUCAGUGUCUCUUAUGAAGGGAUGGCUGAAGUUUGUGAAGUUUAUAACCGAGUCUGAACCUAUAGUGGUUUAAAAGAAUAUGUUUAAAUUUUGUUCCCUCUUCAUAUGAUGGUUAUUUAAUUUUGUUUGUUAAAAUAAUCCAAAUUAUUGACAACUCUUUUGGAAAUAUUAAUAGUGUACAUUUUUUUAAAGUGGGCUCAUGAUUAUGCAUCCAA